AGGUGCGAUCAUACCGGCACUAAUGCACCGGAUCUGAUCAGAACUCCGCAGUUAAGCGUACUUGGGCGAAAGUAGUACUAAAAUGGGUGACCUCUUCAAAAGUCCUUGUGUUGCACCUA
RNAcentral lists this ribosomal RNA (119 nucleotides) under Medicago truncatula (barrel medic). Lineage: Eukaryota; Viridiplantae; Streptophyta; Magnoliopsida; Fabales; Fabaceae. The record is from RNAcentral.